RNAcentral lists this long non-coding RNA (915 nucleotides) under Homo sapiens (human). RNAcentral's name for it is "HSALNT0045105". The record is from RNAcentral. Lineage: Eukaryota; Metazoa; Chordata; Mammalia; Primates; Hominidae.
UGGCUACAUUGGCUCUGGAGCUACCACAAAGGAACAUCUUGGGAAUGAGCAUUAUAAUUCAGGAUAACCAGGACUUUCAGAACCGUUGUUCCAUGGCAACAUCAAGGAGCCAUGGCUGCCAAUAUUCCCAAGAGAGAAUGAACUUUUGACUCUGGGCAUCAUACAAAGCCUCAAGCUGUUCCCUGUAGAGUGAAGAGCUUGGAUGGAGUUAAGGACUUCAGUGGUUCUUGCUAAUGCUUUCAGGCAGCUUCACCUGUAUUUGCAUCAUCCAGGCAGUCUGCGCCUGAGAAGCACACAGAACAGCUAAAGAUCACGGCUUGUUUUGAAUAUGCCAGCCAGGAUUCCUGGGAAUCUGAGUAUUGGAAUCAAUGUCUGACAAUUUUUUUUCUUUAAAUAACCCCCAACAGCUUUGCCACCACCAGUUGUCACCUGUGUGUUUUUAAGCCAUCGUGUCCUUGAAAGGAGUGCCAUCUCUUACGUAUCCUGUUUAUUUUCUCAGGUGAAAUGAUCUCACAAAAACAUCUUAACUUAAUGAAAUUACCAGCCUGUACCAAAAAGCUUUCUGUUUGAAUAGGGCAUUUCUUUACUUCCCAAGUAGCUUUGCAAUGAGAAAACUGAUGGUGAUAUAGCUGUUGACCUUAAAGAUGCAAUAUUUGUGAACUUUCUCAGGAGAAGGUUGUGCUAUUUACCUGGUCCUUCAGUGAAAUAUGAUGCUUCCUUACAGAGGUAGAAACGCUUUGGAUUUUAGAUCCACAAUGUGACAGGUUUCCUUACUUUCAUUGCCCACUGCCUGCAUUUUGUUUGGAAGCUGGAACAAGAGAGCUGCUGAUACUGUUUCAGUGGAUUCCUUUGUUGUGUUCUCUUCUCAAUUUGAAAACCAUAAGAAUUGCUACUCAAUAAAAAAAAUAACAGUUG